GCUCACAUGUCAUCUCCACCAUAGUGUCCAUGCCAUGGAUAACAGAAACCAACUUCCCUUUUCAUAGAUUCUACAGACCUUUGAAAGCUAUUGAAUUUUAAGACGACUUACAGGGACAUUGAUUCUCCACCUGGAGGAGGCAAGAAGAAGCCUUGUCCAAGCUGAAUGCAGAGAGACACCUUUUUAUAAAAAGAGAAGAGGAAAAAUGGCAGAGAAGUAGGGAGCUCUGUACUUUUUGCCUGCGGAACUCUCAAAGACUGAAGCAUUAAGACAUGGGACCACAAGAGUCUGGGAGGAAAACAGACAGAGUCCGCUAAGAAGACAGCCUCAUAGAUGCUUCCUGGAUGUCUAAGAGUAUCUUGUCCUUUUUUAUAGCAGUGUCCCCAAAACUUUACUGGCACAAAAGCGUAAGUGAAGGAGCAAUGUCGAAUGUACUCAACUAUUUAGAGGGAAGAGGAGAUUCCCCUUAUACAGUGAAUAACCUAAUAAAUCCCAAUUAAAUACCAUGCACUCAAA
Long non-coding RNA from Suricata suricatta (meerkat), 516 nucleotides. RefSeq lists it as uncharacterized. The transcript has 3 exons. NCBI's taxonomy places the organism in Eukaryota, Metazoa, Chordata, Mammalia, Carnivora, Herpestidae. The record is from RefSeq and is a predicted model, not a curated record.